GUCGCAGUUGCAAAUGAGAACUUGUUCUCAACUAGCCUACCUGGUUAAAUAAAGGAGAGAGACCAGACUCUGACAGCGGGAAGAGUUCCUCAGAGGAAACAGACAUGGAGACGCCUAACCAACACCACUGCUACCACUGUGGAAAGAGUUUUAAGUGGUUAGGGAGCCUGAAAAUGCAUGAUGCAUGAGAGAACACACACGGGAGAGAAGCCUUAUCACUGUUCCCACUGUGGAAAGAGUUUUAGGUGGUUAUGGGUCCUGAAAAAGCAUGAGAGAAAACACACAGGAGAAAAGCCUUUCCAACAUACUAAUACACAGGAGGAGAAGACAUACCACUGCUCUCAUUGUGAAAAGACAUUUUCCCAGUCAGAGGACCUGAAAUCACACGAGAGAAUAGAGAGGCUGAGUUCUGACUUUGUCCAUGGCCAGGAUUCACAGGGCCAGGGUGUCCGCUAUAGGUACCUGGGAAAAAAAUCAGCAGCGGACAUUUUUGAACAUUUAUCCAACAGACCUGUACAUCCAUGAAUGGAUCUCUAUAGUGUGUAACUAUUUCUGCUGUAUUGUUUAAUUGUACAAUGUUAUUUCAACAGAUUUUACUGAUGCUAUUAGAUUUUACAUUUAUCUGUGGGUUUAUUUCAACAGAUUUUACUGAUGCUAUUAGACUGCUGUGUGGGGGGAGUUUUAUAUAUACAGAGACUUCAGAAAGUAUUCACACCCCUUGACUUGUCCCACAUGUUGUGUUACAUCCUGAAUGUAUAAUGGUUCCCCCUUGACUUGUCCCACAUGUUGUUGUGUUACAUCCUGAAUGUAUAAAGGUUCCCACUUGACUUGU
This is a non-coding RNA of Oncorhynchus mykiss (rainbow trout), 832 nucleotides long. The record is from RefSeq and is a predicted model, not a curated record. NCBI's taxonomy places the organism in Eukaryota, Metazoa, Chordata, Actinopteri, Salmoniformes, Salmonidae.